GUCAGUGUAUCUGAGAGGGUGAGGCGAACAGUGCAUACAAUGUCAGUCAAUUAAGAUCAAAGUGCAGCUGAAACAUGGCAAUUUUAAGCAACAGCGAGAGCAUCGACCGGGACAGUUCUGCUGUGGAUAUUGGAUGAUGUUUUUUCAUCGUAUGAAGGAACACGCUUCUAAAAGUGGACGCAACGACAUAAAAGUUCUACUUCUGGAGCUGUACUUCUGGAUUUGUCGAAACUAGUCUGAAGUCUUGUAGAUAUUUGACGGUAAAACUUUUAACUUUGUCGCCCGGUGUGCUUAUAUAGUUUGUCCGCGUUUGUUACGACACACGUACGGCAGGCUUCGUGUAAUCUGAACGAAUCCUGAAUGGUUCGAGUUAUACACACUGGUGUAACCCUGGGUUAAUUAAACUAAUGGACGAUGGCACAUCUUGUUUUGAUGUGGUAUUUUGUAUUUGCCAUUUUUCCUGGGUGUCUCGGGGCCACUUUUAACGCACACAUUUCCCACAUGACAUUGCCAGGAACGCCGAUAUUCAACUCGAGUCUCCCUAGCAGCGGGCAGCGUUGGCUUUACGGCAUAUCCCCCGUUUCAAAGUCAAAGCAAGCGAGUCACCUUGUUAGAAUCAACGAAAACACUGGAGUCCUGACUCUGCACAGAGACAUCAACUGCACAGCUUUGAACGAAAAUCCAUUCUUUUUGUACAUUGAAGCGAGGACAAGCAGGAUUAGUUCGUCGGCUCUGGACAAUGGCCCAUCAGACAUUUAUGUCCAGGUACCGGUUGCGGUUCACAUCCACGGUGGACAUUGUAAACUGAAACAUGCCAAAAAGGAAUAUCGCAAAGAUCAUUUCAAAGGACGAGAUCAUGCCAGUCACAAACCAGUUCCAGAUUAUGAUAAGCAGUUUAUUGUAAUGGACUACCCCACUGGCCCAUGCUGGAAUUCACAGGAAGUAAUACUCUCAAUGAACGACUUCCUGCCGAGUUCUGCUUCUCACUGUCGGGUGAAUUACACUCUGAACAAACAUAAGUCAGAGCAUAUGUUGUCGAUGAAUCAAAACACUGGGGAUGUUAUUUCUCCAGAGACUUCCUUAUGCAUGCACAGGCCAGACGACAAACAUUUAUCAGUUUUGGUAGAGUUUGCACCACUGUGCAUGCAUUACUACCACCAUCUACACCAUAAUCCUGUCGUUGGAGUACGGAUUCAUGUACAACUUGAUCUUCGAGUUGUUGGAACAAGCUUGUUUCCCAGAGUUGCGGCUGCAGAAGUCCCUGAGCCUGACAUUAGUGCCACAAAAGCUCAACAACAGGCANCGCCGUAAUCGCAGUCCAAACUUCCCUCAAGGAAUGUACAUUGCCAAUAUUCCCGAGGAGCAACCAGUUGGAUAUAUCGUCAUGACUAUCACUGCCUCGGACACUGAUAGUGGGGAGGCAGGCCGGCUGACUUAUUCAAUGCUUGCAGAGCGUGAUGCCAGAAGUCAGAACAUGUUCAGUAUCGACCCAGAUAGUGGUAUCAUCACAACAACUCAAAGGCUUGAUAGGGAAAGUAUCGAAGAACAUUUAUUUGAGGUCACUGCCACCGACCAUGGAUCACCACAGCGGUCUACGUCAGCUUUUCUGCAGAUUAUGGUGGAAGAUUUGAAUGACCACCGGCCUGAGUUUGAACUGACCGAGUACCACAUCGAAAUUGGGGAAAAUGAGCCUGCAGGUACAACCUUGUAUGAGUUACAUGCAAGUGAUGGUGAUUCUAAUUUUAAUGCAGUGGUUCGUUAUAGCAUCAUUAACCCAGAACCUCCUAAUGAUGCAUUCCAUAUCAACUCGCGUUCAGGAAUCAUUACCACCCGUGCAAGGCUGGACCGGGAGGUCGUCUCCAGCUAUGAAUUGAUUGUCCUGGCCCAAGAUCUUGGAACAAAUCCUGGUCCGCUGAACACAACUGCCCGAGUUUUAAUCACUGUCUUGGAUGAGAAUGACAACUACCCACAGUUCUCAAAGCGCACCUUUGAGGUCACCAUUCCUGAAGAUUCCCCUCGAAAUGUCAUUAUUGAGACCAUAACAGCCACAGACAGGGACGCUGGAUCUAAUGCUGACAUUCGUUACAGUAUGGUCGGAGGACAAGGUCACUUUGUGAUUGACCCAUACAAUGGAGAAAUUCUGCUGACUUCAGCUCUUGAUUACGAGAAUACACCAUCUUACCAGUUGGUCGUGCAUGCUCAGGACAGUGGACGCUCAGCGCGAUCCAAUUCAACAUGUGUCAUAGUGAAUAUUUUAGAUGUCAAUGACAACUCCCCACGCUUCCCAACGACCCUGUAUCAAACAUCGAUUAGAGAAGAUGCUCGCAUUGAUUCAUCUGUUAUCACUCUGAAUGCCUUUGAUGGUGACUCAGGCGAGUUUGCACGCAUUACCUACAGCAUUCAAGAUCCUGAUACUGCACUUCCAUUCACUAUCAAUACAGACACAGGGCAGAUAACAACAUCCUCAUUGCUUGACAGAGAAACGUCCCCACUGUAUGAGUUUACCGUUGUUGCGAGUGAUCAAGGUGACCCGCCAAAAACAGCAACAACUGAGGUAUCUGUGCGCAUUACUGAUGUCAAUGACAAUCCCCCAGUUUUUACUCAGAGUGAGUAUUACGGUCGUGUUGAUGAGGAUGCUUCUCCAGGAUUGACUGUGGUGACUGUCUCUGCUUAUGAUCCUGAUGUAGGAAACAGUGUUUCAUACCAAAUUACAGCUGGCAACACAAGGAACCGUUUCAAUAUCAUCAGCCAGAAUAAUCGUGGAAUGAUUACGGUCGCCCUACCCUUAGACUACAAGCAGGAACCACACUUUGUGCUGACAGUAACUGCAUCAAAUAAUGAACAAUCGAGCAUGUGUCUGGUGUACAUAAAUGUCACUGAUGCCAACACCUAUAGACUAGUAUUUGAUCAGUCACCAUAUAGAGCAGAAGUAGCUGAAAAUGUUGCUGUUGGGUACGUUGUUGUCCAAGUUCAUGCUACGGAUGGUGAUGUUGGUGAGAAUGCGCGUAUCACAUACUCUAUGGAUAGCAUACCAAGCUUUGAAAUUGACCCAGACAGUGGCGAGAUCAAAACCCGAACCGAACUGGACCGUGAGACUACAUCAAGUUACACCAUUCAUGUGACGGCAUCAGAUCAUGGAUUAGAGCCACAGAUAGACACGACUGAAGUGGAAAUCUUCCUCACAGAUAUCAAUGACAACCCCCCAGUCUUCACAGAGAGUGCUUACUCCACUGAGAUUAGUGAGAGUGUAAGUCCCCAGUCCCUGGUCAUACAGAUUGAAGCUGAAGAUGCCGAUGAAGGUACUAACAGUCAGAUUUCCUACACGUUCAAUAAUGGUAAUGAUGGCAAUGGAGCUUUUGUCAUUGAUGAAACCUCAGGCAUCAUCCGUACAGCAGUCUGUCUCGAUCGCGAGGCCAAAGCAGAGUACAACUUAGUUGCCUUUGCUGUGGACGGGGGCCGUCCCACUCACCGCGAAACUGUGCAGAUCACUGUCAGGCUGCGUGAUGAGAAUGACAACCCACCUGAGUUUCUUCAGGAGGAGAUGGAUGUGUACAUCGCAGAGAACCGUAACCCUGGUGAACUGGUCUCCACCAUCAUUGCGAAUGACCCGGAUGAGGGCUACAACGCAAUCAUCCAUUACUCCCUGAUUGCAGGUGACCUGGACUUCUUUGAGAUUGACAGUCGAUCAGGGGAACUGACAACCCUGAUUGAGCUGGACUAUGAAGCCAGGAAUGAGUACCAAGUAACCGUCAAGGCCACUUCAACACCCUUCUUCAGGUUGGCUACAGUCAACAUCCAUGUUGAGGACCAGAACGACAACAGUCCCAUCCUAGAAGACUUUGAAAUCUUCUUCAACUACUAUGAGGGAUUCUUCCCAGAAGGUGACAUUGGACAGGUUCCUGCUCAUGACCAGGAUGUGUCAGACACCCUCCAGUACCUGAUCAUGAGGGGGAAUGCAAAUAACCACCUAAUCCUGAAUGGCACCACAGGGGGCAUCAGACUCAAUCCCAGUCUGAGGAAUAUUGAUAUCCCACAGAGAAUGGAGAUGUGGAUACAAGUAUCAGAUGGCCUGAAUGUUGUGUCGGCACAGUGCACCUUCCGUCUAACAAUGGUCACUGAUAACAUGCUAAUGAGCAGUAUCACUGUCCAGCUGGAGGACACAAACUCCCAGGAAUUCCUCUCUGCAAAGAUCAAUCGUUUCAUCGAUGCCCUAUCCAACAUCAUCCCCACACAACGCAACCUGGUGUAUGUUUUCAGCAUCAAGAACCAUGACAUUGUGAGUGACCCACCCAUCCUUGAUGUCUCCUUUGCUGCCCAGCACCAAGACGGCACCUUCUUCACUUCCCAGUACCUCCAGGAGCGAGUCUACCUGAUGCGGUCUAUCCUCUCCGAAGUUUCCUUGGUGAAGGUGUUGCCCUUUGGUGACAACCUCUGCCUUUACGAGGUCUGCAGUAGUGAGAACAUGCACUACCGGUGUCUCUCCCCGCUCUCCUUCUGGAGUUCAUCGGGCUUCAUUGCGACCCAGACCGUCAUCUUUCGUUCUAUCCAUCCAGAGACUCUCUACAGGUGUGAGUGCCCACCAGGAUUCACAGGCAACUAUUGCACAACAGAGAUCAACUAUUGCUACUCUAAUCCUUGUGGUAGCAAUGGGCAGUGCAUUCAGAAAGAAGCUGGAUAUACCUGCGUGUGCAAUGAUAACUUUGCAGGUCCAAACUGUGAGAUCGACUUCAAGAAUGGUCGAUGUACCGACAACCUGUGUAAGAACGGCGGCCUGUGUAGGAAUUUUCUACGUGGGGGUUUUGAGUGUGUCUGUCCAGGAGAGGAUUAUGACGGGGAUCUGUGCGAGAUUCGGACAAGAAACUUCCCCGAAAACUCCUUCCUGAUGUUCCGGUCAUUAAAUAGGAGGGUCCGGUUCCAGAUGUCACUAAGUUUUGCCACCAAGGUGGAUAACGGUCUUCUGUUCUACAACGGCCGCUAUAACCAGAAGCAUGAUUUCAUCGCGCUGGAGAUAGUCAACAGGCAGGUGCGAUUCCUGUUCUCGGCGGGCGAGGUGACCAGUGUAGUGACCACAUCUAUCCUUGGUGGCGUUAGCAAUGGGGAAUGGCAUAAAGUCGUCGUGGAUUACCAUGAACGGAUAUGAUCGCGUGUGAUGGUGAAUAUUGUGUUGGACGAUAUUUUCACACUGAACGCUUUGGUUUAUCGAUGUAUCCAGCUGGCAUUUGGUACUGUGAUCAUUGUAAAGGAUCAUCAGCUUCAACAUCAGAGAAAGAUAGUGAAGGACCAUCAACAUCUUUUACAGGGGGAGGUGA
RNAcentral lists this unclassified non-coding RNA (5309 nucleotides) under Acanthaster planci (crown-of-thorns starfish). Its description in RNAcentral is "cadherin EGF LAG seven-pass G-type receptor 2-like, transcript variant X1". Lineage: Eukaryota; Metazoa; Echinodermata; Asteroidea; Valvatida; Acanthasteridae. The record is from RNAcentral.